Molecule: long non-coding RNA, 556 nt
Filed under: Phoenix dactylifera (date palm)
Lineage: Eukaryota; Viridiplantae; Streptophyta; Magnoliopsida; Arecales; Arecaceae
Description: long non-coding RNA (PDAC_LNC007248)
Source: RNAcentral
UCCCAUCUCAUAUGUUGAUAGGAAUAAUGAUUAGACUCGGGCUGGUUUGCAGGUGUGUAAACCUUUGUCUAAGACCACAUAUAAUCAAUGUUUAUCUAAGAAGAUGCAGCAUCAAAUGAUCGAGAAAUGGAGAGGAUGGGCUAUCAUGUGGAAAUUGAAGGUUGCACCUUGGACUCAUACCUUUUUGUGGAGACUGCUAUGGGGGAGACUGCCCAUGCUUGCUUGGCUUCACCACUUCAAUCUUUAUCCUGACCCUUCAUAUGCUUGUUGUAGUCUUAAGAUUACAACCCAAAGCCUAAUAGUUAGAAAUUGUGUAUUGCAAGCCAUAGCAUACAUAAAGGAUUCGACGGGAACCACCUCCUCACCCUUUUGUAAACUAUAGCACAGAUGGUUCUUUUGUUUCUUAUGACAUAUAUUGGCAGGUGAGGAAAAUCUCUCUUCACCCCCUAUCAUGUAUACUGAAGUGUGGGCCAUUGGAGAAGCUUUCAGGAUAGCCAAGGAGCUCGACCAUUCUCACAUGAUCCCCGAGAGACAAUUUUUGAUCCAUCUCCUUCAA